ACGACCAGCAGAGCAGCACCAUGAGGUCCACUACGCCAGCGUCUGCUUCACCCAGAACCGGGCAGAUGACCUCUACGCCAACAUAGGUAGAGUUCAACCCCAGAGGGAAACUGAGGAAGAGGAGGAGGAGGCUGAAUACAGCGCUGUUCGAUUUGUCAGUGCAACAGGAACAAGACGUGAAGAAGAGGGGGACGAUUCAUCUGCAGUGUACAGCACAGUCACCAAACACUGAAGAGACACAACGUGAAUCUGUUGUUUAUAUGUGGAUUUUACAUUAUCACAGAACCAGAAGAAAUAAAACAUGUAGACAUGUG
This is a long non-coding RNA of Pleuronectes platessa (European plaice), 314 nucleotides long. RefSeq lists it as uncharacterized. The transcript has 2 exons. The record is from RefSeq and is a predicted model, not a curated record. NCBI's taxonomy places the organism in Eukaryota, Metazoa, Chordata, Actinopteri, Pleuronectiformes, Pleuronectidae.